CCUACGGGCGGCAGCAGUGAGGAAUAUUGGUCAAUGGACGAGAGUCUGAACCAGCCAAGUAGCGUGAAGGAUGACUGCCCUAUGGGUUGUAAACUUCUUUUAUAUGGGAAUAAAACGUUCCACGUGUGGGAUUUUGUAUGUACCAUAUGAAUAAGGAUCGGCUAACUCCGUGCCAGCAGCCGCGGUAAUACGGAGGAUCCGAGCGUUAUCCGGAUUUAUUGGGUUUAAAGGGAGCGUAGGUGGAUUGUUAAGUCAGUUGUGAAAGUUUGCGGCUCAACCGUAAAAUUGCAGUUGAAACUGGCAGUCUUGAGUAAAGUAGAGGUGGGCGGAAUUGGUGGUGUAGCGGUGAAAUGCUUAGAUAUCACGAAGAACUCCGAUUGCGAAGGCAGUUCACUGGACUGCAACUGACACUGAGGCUCGAAAGUGUGGGUAUCAAACAGGAUUAGAUACCCCGGUAGUC
Molecule: ribosomal RNA, 460 nt
Filed under: uncultured bacterium
Lineage: Bacteria
Description: partial 16S ribosomal RNA
Rfam family: Bacterial small subunit ribosomal RNA
Source: RNAcentral